Molecule: ribosomal RNA, 433 nt
Filed under: uncultured bacterium
Lineage: Bacteria
Description: partial 16S ribosomal RNA
Rfam family: Bacterial small subunit ribosomal RNA
Source: RNAcentral
AACGAACGCUGGCGGCAUGCCUAACACAUGCAAGUCGAACGAGACCUUCGGGUCUAGUGGCUCACGGGUGCGUAACGCGUGGGAACCUGCCCUUAGGUUCGGAAUAACUCCCCGAAAGGGGUGCUAAUACCGGAUAAUGUCUUCUGACCAAAGAUUUAUCGCCUUUGUGUGGGCCCGCGUUGGCUUAGCUAGGUGGUAGGGUAAAAGCCUACCAAGGCGACGAUCCAUAGCUGGUAUGAGAGGCUGAUCAGCCACACUGGGACUGAGACACGGCCCAGACUCCUACGGGAGGCAGCAGUGGGGAAUAUUGGAAAAUGGGCGAAAGCCUGAUCCAGCAAUGCCGCGUGAGUGAUGAAGGCCUUAGGGUUGUAAAGCUCUUUUACACGGGAUGAUAAUGACAGUACCGGGAGAAUAAGCUCCGGCUAACUCCGUG